Long non-coding RNA from Leucoraja erinaceus (little skate), 1691 nucleotides. RefSeq lists it as uncharacterized. The record is from RefSeq and is a predicted model, not a curated record. NCBI's taxonomy places the organism in Eukaryota, Metazoa, Chordata, Chondrichthyes, Rajiformes, Rajidae. The transcript is spliced from 3 exons.
GACCCAGGUUCGAUCCUGACUACGGGGGCUCUCUAUGGAAUUUGUUCGUUCUCCCCGUGACUUGUGUCGGUUUUCUGAGAUGUUCAGUUAACUCCCACACUCAAGGCGUACAGGUUUGUAGGUUAAUUGGGUACGGUAAAAUUAUAAAUUGCUCCAGUGCGUGAUAGUGAUAGUGUUACUGUGCGGGGAUAGUUAUUGUAUAGACUCGGUGAGCCGAAGGGCCUGUUUUUGUGCUGAAUCUCUAAACUAAACUAAUUCACUCUCUCUUGUGCCCUUGCCUCUGUCUCUGUCUCCGAUUUCACCAAUGGAUACGGAGGACCUCCACUCCCAGUAACCUUCCUCCUCAACCCUCCUCUGCUGUCUUGGGUAAGCAGAAGUUACCAGUCGUCUAUAUUGAUGGACCCGUGCUCUCAGAUCUUAGCUAUCAUGGACUUUCUGUGGGCCAAUGAGCUUAACAUUGCCAAUUUGCACACUGACAGUUGCCGUCUUGCCUGAGGAGAUCCAGAGCAUCUGCAAACUUCCCUCGCUCAAUCCAAUAAAGCCUCUGCUGGGUUUGAUCCAGAGUACGAGGCAGUGCCCUAACCAUUAGAGAUUGAUGUCAUGUUGAAAAUAAUCUGAAGUAUUCUGAAAGGAAUGGAUGGAUCCUGCUUCUUAUUGCUCCCUCCAACAAGAUGGUGGUGGUACGCUUCAUCCUCCAGAUCACCGCUACAGCAGUCUGCAGUACCAUCGGGCAGCUCAUUAUGAUGAUGGUAGCUGGAAUCACCAGGACAAUGGUCCAGACUUCCAAUUUGUACAUUGACAUCAUUGAAACCGCCUUAUUGGGUUAAAGCACAGAAUAGAUUUAGAUGAAUGGAAAUAAUAUGAGUACCUGAAUUCCAUCAUCACCAAAAAAGCAUACCAUUGUUUCUACUUCCUCAGGAUAUUUGACAUUAAUUUAAAGACUCUUACCAACAUCUGCAGUUGGAACUGUAGAAAACGUACUGCCGGGUUGUAUCACUACUUAGUUUGGGAACAGCUUUGCCCAAGACCACAAGAUAUUGCAGAGUUGUGGAUCUCUCCAGCACACGGGCCAGACUUCCCACCAUUAACUCCAUCUACACUUCGCUCUCUUGGGAAAGCAGCCAACAUAAUCAAAGACCUUUUCCACCCUUGUCAUUUCCACUAUUCCCUGCUUCCACCACAAAGAGGAUAUGAUAUAAAAGCCUGAAAGUGUAUACCUUCAGACUCAGGAACAGCUUCUUCCCCUGUUAUUUGAAUUCUGAAUGGUCCUUCCAGAAGCUAAGAUAACUUUCCUAAUUUCCAACCAACAUCAUUGUGAACAUUGGACUUUUUCUCAGAAACGAUUAUGCCACAAUGUUGAGAAACUGUAUGCUGCACUAUGCAUGUUUCUCCUCUCUCUACGUAUGGUGCUUGUGUAUGGCUUGAUUGUAUUUAUGUACAGUAUUACCUGAUUUAAUUCGAUAGUAUGCAAAAAAAAGCUUUUCACUGUAAAUCAGUGUACACAACAAUAAAGCAAUUUAAACAUGUUUUGUGUGCAACAGUAGAUGACUUCACAUUGCCCAUAUUAUAUUAUUUCUGUUGUGUUCUGGCCCACACACUCAGCUUGUUUCUAUCCCUUUAAAAACUCUUUACAUCUUUCUCACUGUUCAAACAUUUCCCAAGUUUUGUAUCAUCAGUAAAACUGGAAGUGC